RNAcentral lists this ribosomal RNA (253 nucleotides) under uncultured bacterium. RNAcentral's name for it is "partial 16S ribosomal RNA". It matches the Rfam family "Bacterial small subunit ribosomal RNA", at positions 524 to 776 of the family's 1533-position model. The record is from RNAcentral.
UACAGAGGUGGCAAGCGUUGUUCGGAAUUACUGGGCGUAAAGGGCGCGUAGGCGGUCUUAUAAGUCUCGUGUGAAAUCCCUCGGCUUAACUGAGGAACUGCACGGGAUACUGCAAGACUUGAGAUCGGGAGAGGGAAGCGGAAUUCUCGGUGUAGAGGUGAAAUUCGUAGAUAUCGAGAGGAACACCGGUGGCGAAGGCGGCCUUCUGGACAGUGACUGACGCUGAGACGCGAAAGCGUGGGGAGCAAACAGG